UACAGAGGGUGCAAGCGUUGUCCGGAAUUAUUGGGCGUAAAGAGCUCGUAGGCGGUCUGUCGCGUCGGAUGUGAAAAUCAGGGCUCAACCCUGGACCUGCAUUCGAUACGGGCAGACUAGAGUUCGGUAGGGGAGACUGGAAUUCCUGGUGUAGCGGUGAAAUGCGCAGAUAUCAGGAGGAACACCGGUGGCGAAGGCGGGUCUCUGGGCCGAAACUGACGCUGAGGAGCGAAAGCGUGGGGAGCAAACAGG
RNAcentral lists this ribosomal RNA (252 nucleotides) under uncultured bacterium. RNAcentral describes it as "partial 16S ribosomal RNA". It matches the Rfam family "Bacterial small subunit ribosomal RNA", at positions 524 to 776 of the family's 1533-position model. The record is from RNAcentral.